This 505-nucleotide ribosomal RNA is filed under the name uncultured bacterium. Its description in RNAcentral is "partial 16S ribosomal RNA". It matches the Rfam family "Bacterial small subunit ribosomal RNA", at positions 28 to 507 of the family's 1533-position model. The record is from RNAcentral.
GACGAACGCUGGCGGCGUGCCUAAUACAUGCAAGUAGAACGCACAGUUUAUACCGUAGCUUGCUACACCAUAGACUGUGAGUUGCGAACGGGUGAGUAACGCGUAGGUAACCUGCCUGGUAGCGGGGGGUAACUAUUGGAAACGAUAGCUAAUACCGCAUAAUAUUGAUUAUUGCAUGAUAGUUGAUUGAAAGAUGCUAUUGCAUCACUACCAGAUGGACCUGCGUUGUAUUAGCUAGUAGGUGAGGUAACGGCUCACCUAGGCGACGAUACAUAGCCGACCUGAGAGGGUGAUCGGCCACACUGGGACUGAGACACGGCCCAGACUCCUACGGGAGGCAGCAGUAGGGAAUCUUCGGCAAUGGACGAAAGUCUGACCGAGCAACGCCGCGUGAGUGAAGAAGGUUUUCGGAUCGUAAAGCUCUGUUGUAAGAGAAGAACGGGUGUGAGAGUGGAAAGUUCACACUGUGACGGUAUCUUACCAGAAAGGGACGGCUAACUACGUG